GAAAUGAUAGUUUGCAAUCAGAUUUAAGUGGAUCUGGAGAAAAUAAAGACACAUGAGCUUUCUUGCACACAUCUGAGCGUGUGUUAUGGACUUUCACUCCAGCUUCAGUUCAUUUCCCAGGGUUCUUGUUUUCCUGGGAAGCCACAAGUUCUAGUACUUUCUUCUCUCCUCAAAUGUAUUAUCCCAGACAAACAUUUGGCACAUUGAAUCUGUUUCUCCCUUCUCUUUCCCUGUCUUUAGACAGAAUAUUAUUCAACUCAAGCUAAAGUGAAAACACCAACGAUGCUUGAAGCCUCUUUUGGGUAAGUGCCUCCGUACUUCGGGGUGGUUCCUGCAUGUUGGUGGGACAGAGCUCUUAAUUCCCAGGGCCGGGGGGUUUGCAGGAUGAACAUGGGGCAUUGUGGCUGACUCAGAGCUUGGUGACACCGGUGGCCCCAUUGUCCCUACUCCCAGCCUUAGGUGUGAUUAGAGCCCUCAGUGACCAGGACCUUCAUAUUCACAUGAGGCUGGUUUUUAACAAAUGCUUUUGCAAGAAGCACAGGGUGUGCUGCGUGGAGGAAGUACAGUGACGAUGGGGCUCGUUCUUCUUGGAAUGAUCAAGAGCUUCUCGGCACCCCCGGAGCAGUGUGAGGCAGAGACCACAGCUCACAGUUGAUUCCAGUGCCUUGAUGUGACUCACUGGAAAGAUUCCACCGGGCCGCAGCACCAUUGUCCUUGGAAAUCAAGGGUCAUAUUUGCAGGUGUCGUUUUGAGCUUUCUAGCCUGUUCUGUUGGCCUGUUUUCCUUUCAUCCUUGUGCUACUGUCACGCUGGCUUAAUUCCCAAGCCUUUAUAAUAAAUCUUGGUAGAACAAGGUCCAGUAGAACAAGUCCUUCCGCCUCCAAGUUUCAUGGCUCCUCCAUCGCCAUAACUUUUAGAAUCAGGUUAAGUC
RNAcentral lists this long non-coding RNA (930 nucleotides) under Capra hircus (goat). RNAcentral describes it as "lncRNA (ENSCHIG00000008098.1)". Lineage: Eukaryota; Metazoa; Chordata; Mammalia; Artiodactyla; Bovidae. The record is from RNAcentral.